RNAcentral lists this ribosomal RNA (671 nucleotides) under Rhizobium sp. NOE6. Its description in RNAcentral is "bacterial SSU rRNA". It matches the Rfam family "Bacterial small subunit ribosomal RNA", at positions 49 to 768 of the family's 1533-position model. Lineage: Bacteria; Pseudomonadati; Pseudomonadota; Alphaproteobacteria; Hyphomicrobiales; Rhizobiaceae. The record is from RNAcentral.
UAACACAUGCAAGUCGAGCCCCCGCAAGAGGGAGCGGCAGACGGGUGAGUAACGCGUGGGAAUCUACCUUUUGCUACGGAAUAACGCAGGGAAACUUGUGCUAAUACCGUAUGUGUCCUUCGGGAGAAAGAUUUAUCGGCAAGAGAUGAGCCCGCGUUGGAUUAGCUAGUUGGUGGGGUAAAGGCCUACCAAGGCGACGAUCCAUAGCUGGUCUGAGAGGAUGAUCAGCCACAUUGGGACUGAGACACGGCCCAAACUCCUACGGGAGGCAGCAGUGGGGAAUAUUGGACAAUGGGCGCAAGCCUGAUCCAGCCAUGCCGCGUGAGUGAUGAAGGCCCUAGGGUUGUAAAGCUCUUUCACCGGAGAAGAUAAUGACGGUAUCCGGAGAAGAAGCCCCGGCUAACUUCGUGCCAGCAGCCGCGGUAAUACGAAGGGGGCUAGCGUUGUUCGGAAUUACUGGGCGUAAAGCGCACGUAGGCGGAUCGAUCAGUCAGGGGUGAAAUCCCAGGGCUCAACCCUGGAACUGCCUUUGAUACUGUCGAUCUGGAGUAUGGAAGAGGUGAGUGGAAUUCCGAGUGUAGAGGUGAAAUUCGUAAAUAUUCGGAGGAACACCAGUGGCGAAGGCGGCUCACUGGGUCAUUACUGACGCUGAGGUGCGAAAGCGUGGGGAG